This 228-nucleotide ribosomal RNA is filed under the name uncultured bacterium. RNAcentral describes it as "partial 16S ribosomal RNA". It matches the Rfam family "Bacterial small subunit ribosomal RNA", at positions 366 to 586 of the family's 1533-position model. The record is from RNAcentral.
GGCAAGUAAUGGGCGCAGCCUGAUCCAGCAAUGCCGCGUGGGUGAAGAAAGGCCUGCGGGUUGUAAAGCCCUUUCGGUGGGGAGGAACGCUCUGGCGCUAAUAUCGCGGGAGCUUGCCGUCCCCACAGAAGAAGCACCGGCCAACUCCGUGCCAGCAGCCGCGGUAAUACGGAGGGUCGAGCGUUAAUCGGAUUACUGGGCGUAAAGGGCGCGUAGGUGGUGCGUUGA